Non-coding RNA from Oryctolagus cuniculus (rabbit), 357 nucleotides. NCBI's taxonomy places the organism in Eukaryota, Metazoa, Chordata, Mammalia, Lagomorpha, Leporidae. The record is from RefSeq and is a predicted model, not a curated record.
AAGGGGGCUUCUGGGAAAUAUUCUCUUAUAAAAUAGAAAGCAAAUUGAGGGAAAAGCCUUUUUGCCUCUUCCCUUGUCCUGCCUGCCUGUUUGGCAUGUGGUCAUGUGAUCCUGUGAUCCUAAGGGGACUCAUUUCCAACACAGUGUUGAUGGCAGAGCAGAGAAUGGAUACAGAUUAACAUCCACCAAAAGGAGAGGCAUGUUGGCCAGAGGCUGGGAAGGCUGCCAAUGUGAAGCUUGUGUUCGUCUCUCCCUGUGGAGUCAAGACAUUGAUCUCCAGCAUCCAUGGUUCUUCCAGCAUUGAUCUGUGACACCCACACAGAGUACUGAUGUCCAGCAAAAUCCACCUAAACCUGA